RNAcentral lists this ribosomal RNA (489 nucleotides) under uncultured bacterium. RNAcentral describes it as "partial 16S ribosomal RNA". It matches the Rfam family "Bacterial small subunit ribosomal RNA", at positions 30 to 506 of the family's 1533-position model. The record is from RNAcentral.
AUUGAACGCUGGCGGCAGGCUUAACACAUGCAAGUCGAGCGGUAGCACAGGGGAGCUUGCUCCCUGGGUGACGAGCGGCGGACGGGUGAGUAAUGUCUGGGAAACUGCCUGAUGGAGGGGGAUAACUACUGGAAACGGUAGCUAAUACCGCAUAACGUCGCAAGACCAAAGAGGGGGACCUUCGGGCCUCUUGCCAUCAGAUGUGCCCAGAUGGGAUUAGCUAGUAGGUGGGGUAAUGGCUCACCUAGGCGACGAUCCCUAGCUGGUCUGAGAGGAUGACCAGCCACACUGGAACUGAGACACGGUCCAGACUCCUACGGGAGGCAGCAGUGGGGAAUAUUGCACAAUGGGCGCAAGCCUGAUGCAGCCAUGCCGCGUGUGUGAAGAAGGCCUUCGGGUUGUAAAGCACUUUCAGCGAGGAGGAAGGUGGUGAGCUUAAUACGUUCAUCAAUUGACGUUACUCGCAGAAGAAGCACCGGCUAACUCCGG